ACCUAGCCCAGAUAGAAGCGACAUACUUUUUUACCGAUGUUUUUCGAGAUAAAAGAUAGAGUGGAUAGCGGGAAAUAAC
Molecule: small RNA, 79 nt
Filed under: Flavobacterium limicola
Lineage: Bacteria; Pseudomonadati; Bacteroidota; Flavobacteriia; Flavobacteriales; Flavobacteriaceae
Description: Flavo-1 RNA
Rfam family: Flavo-1 RNA
Source: RNAcentral